AUUGAACGCUGGCGGCAGGCCUAACACAUGCAAGUCGAGCGGAUGAAGGGAGCUUGCUCCUGGAUUCAGCGGCGGACGGGUGAGUAAUGCCUAGGAAUCUGCCUGGUAGUGGGGGAUAACGUCCGGAAACGGGCGCUAAUACCGCAUACGUCCUGAGGGAGAAAGUGGGGGAUCUUCGGACCUCACGCUAUCAGAUGAGCCUAGGUCGGAUUAGCUAGUUGGUGGGGUAAGGGCCUACCAAGGCGACGAUCCGUAACUGGUCUGAGAGGAUGAUCAGUCACACUGGAACUGAGACACGGUCCAGACUCCUACGGGAGGCAGCAGUGGGGAAUAUUGGCCAAUGGGCGAAAGCCUGAUCCAGCCAUGCCGCGGGUGUGAAGAAGGUCUUCGGAUUGUAAAGCACUUUAAGUUGGGAGGAAGGGCAGUAAGUUAAUACCUUGCUGUUUUGACGUUACCAACAGAAUAAGCACCGGCUAACUUCGU
RNAcentral lists this ribosomal RNA (483 nucleotides) under uncultured bacterium. RNAcentral's name for it is "partial 16S ribosomal RNA". It matches the Rfam family "Bacterial small subunit ribosomal RNA", at positions 30 to 506 of the family's 1533-position model. The record is from RNAcentral.